GGCUCUUUGAUUUUUAAUAGAUAAAGAGUCGGACCUGCCCGGUGACGUAGUGUUAAACGGCCGCGGUACCCUAACCGUGCAAAGGUAGCAUAAUCAUUUGCCUUUUAAUUGGAGGCUGGUAUGAAUGGUUUAACGAAAGCUAAGCUGUCUCUUUAAAAAUACUUAGAAAUUAACGUUUAGGUGAAGAGGCCUAAAUCUGAUUAAGGGACAAGAAGACCCUAUUGAGCUUAAGUGGUUUUGAAAAUGAGUUCUGGUAAAUGUCUUAAAUUUAUUUAAUAAGUUUUUCACUUAAUCUUUAGUUGGGGCGACUGAGGAACAAAUAAAGCUUCCUUGAAUUACUAAGUAGUAAACACAAGUGUGAUAUGGGUUAUGGCUUACAGGCUCUAUUGAUCCGGUAUGCUGCCGAUUAAGGGAAAAAGUUACCAUAGGGAUAACAGCGUAAUCUUUCUGGAGAGACCUUAUCGAAAGAAGGGUUUGCGACCUCGAUGUUGGACUAAGAUAUCCUGAGGGUGCAGAAGCUCUCGAUGGUUGGUCUGUUCGACCAUUAAAAUCUU
RNAcentral lists this ribosomal RNA (554 nucleotides) under Broderipia iridescens. RNAcentral's name for it is "partial 16S rRNA". It matches the Rfam family "Bacterial large subunit ribosomal RNA", at positions 1819 to 2597 of the family's 2925-position model. Lineage: Eukaryota; Metazoa; Mollusca; Gastropoda; Trochida; Trochidae. The record is from RNAcentral.